ACAGGUGCUGCAUGGCUGUCGUCAGCUCGUGUCGUGAGAUGUUGGGUUAAGUCCCGCAACGAGCGCAACCCUCGCCCUUAGUUGCCAGCAUUCAGUUGGGCACUCUAAGGGGACUGCCGGUGAUAAGCCGAGAGGAAGGUGGGGAUGACGUCAAGUCCUCAUGGCCCUUACGGGCUGGGCUACACACGUGCUACAAUGGUGGUGACAGUGGGCAGCGAAGGAGCGAUCCCGAGCUAAUCUCCAAAAGCCAUCUCAGUUCGGAUUGCACUCUGCAACUCGAGUGCAUGAAGUUGGAAUCGCUAGUAAUCGCGGAUCAGCACGCCGCGGUGAAUACGUUCCCGGGCUGGUAC
RNAcentral lists this ribosomal RNA (350 nucleotides) under uncultured Alphaproteobacteria bacterium. RNAcentral describes it as "bacterial SSU rRNA". It matches the Rfam family "Bacterial small subunit ribosomal RNA", at positions 1034 to 1379 of the family's 1533-position model. Lineage: Bacteria; Pseudomonadati; Pseudomonadota; Alphaproteobacteria. The record is from RNAcentral.